Long non-coding RNA from Apodemus sylvaticus (European woodmouse), 4838 nucleotides. RefSeq lists it as uncharacterized. The record is from RefSeq and is a predicted model, not a curated record. The transcript is spliced from 5 exons. NCBI's taxonomy places the organism in Eukaryota, Metazoa, Chordata, Mammalia, Rodentia, Muridae.
UGGAGCUCCUUUGAACCACACUGGAGGGAGGCUGACCCUCACUCUAAUCCCAUUAGCACUGAUCUAUUCCCCACCCCUCGGAAAAGUUGCCUAAUAUCUGGCAGAGGCAUGCCACCCCAAACUGCCUAGCUACCACACAAACUUUCUUCGGGCCAGAGGUUGGGGCCUCUGGGGCGACUGUGCUGUGGGGCAUCUGGGUUAUAUGCGGCUCCCAGUGGAGACCCAGAAAAGCAGCUGGGCGCCUGAGGCCCAGCACAACUAGGUUCACCUCCUUGCAAGGCGGGAACGCCUUAGAAGUCCCGUGAUAUGGUAGGGAGGAAGUGGGGGGAGGGGAACCCUUAGCUCCGAAUUCUGGAAGACUCCGGGAGUCGGGAGUCGCUUGGAGGAAGGGGAAUCCGUCGGGAUACCACAGCCCAGCCCCAGUGAGAGCCACUGAGGCCGCCAGAAUAUUCAUAGGGUGCCAAAUGUGAAUGCGGAUAUGCUGUGCAACCUUGGCCAAGUUCCUAUCUGUUUCUGAGGUAAACACUGAGACACACCCCAAAACAAUAUGUGCAAUUUCUCUAGCCACAAGAACCUAUGCACGCACCCGCGCGCACGCGCGCGCGAGCACACACACACACACCGGCGUCUGUGCUUCACACACAUGUAGCAGCAGCUCUCACACAUGACAGCCCUCAGAGCCACUUAGAGUCUCACACACACACCCUUUGCUCUGACUCUGAAUCACCAUCAUAACCAGAGGACUGUCCGGUAGUUUUUGCUGGGGAGGAUAACAAAAGAUCAAACCUGAAAGUCGAGUGUGUGGAGGGAUGGUCUGAGGGUGGCUCUGUGUCAAGUUGGAAUUUAUGGCUUUCUUGCCUCUCAGGGUUGGGCUGAAGAGCAAAAGCCAGGCUUAUGGCGCCCCCUGGUGCCUGAACUAAUUCCUCCCCUGCACACCCGUGGGCACUGUAGACAGAACCUGCUUCCAUCCACCCGGUUGCCAGAGCAAACUGCACAUAUACAUAUAACAUAGUAAUGGGCUCGGCCUAUUUGACCAAGGCCUAUUUGUGUUCAAGUCCUGCCAAAGAUGCUAACUGCAAAAUUGGCUGGUUCAUUAUCUGUAAGAUGGAGCACACAGCAGGGCCUGGGCUGUGGGGUUGUGGGAACAGAAUAUAACCAUAGCUAAAGGCUUAGAGUAACACUGUCACCUAGUACACAGCAACACUGGGCACUUUUGUUCUCUCUGUUGCUCUACUACUUGGUUGGGCUUUGGUUGUCAAUGCUGUUGUUGAGACAAGGGUCAUGUAGCCCAGGAUGGCCCUGAAAUUGCCCUGUAAUCAAGGACAAGGUUGAACUUCACCCUCCUGACUUUACCUCCCGAGUUCCAGGCUUAGAAAUAUGCAACAAACAGCAAUAGGGCUUGUGAUGCUAAGAACUGAACCCGGGGCUUUUUUGCACGUCAGGCAGGGAUGCUGGCAAAUGAGCCACACCCUCCCCCAACCCAAAGGAUAACAUUUGAUGGAUGGUUUUUAAUGUAUAUAGAUAUACUGUCUGCAUGAACGUGUACCAUGUGCAUGCCUGGUGCUCUCGGAGGUCAGAGGAGAGCAUUGCAUCCCCUGGAAUCAGAAUUCCAGAUGAUUGUGUUCUAAUUACCAUGUGAGUCUUGGUGAUCAGAUCCAGGUCCUCCGGAAAAACAGCCAGAGCUCUUAACUACUGAACUAUCUCUCCAGUCCCAGACUGGAAGUCCCAGACUGCUUUUAUGGCUCAGAAUAAAUAUUAUGUGAAAAACACCCCAGAAAGCUCUUGUACUGGCUGGUUUUGUGUGUCAACUCGACACAGGCUGGAGUUAUCAUAGAGAAAGGAACUUCAGUUGGGGAAGUGCCUCCAUGAGAUCCAGCUGUGGGGCAUCUUCUCAAUUAGUUAUCAAGGUUGGGGAGGGCCUCUUUUGGGUGGUGCCAUCCCUGGGCUGGUAGUCUUGGGUUCUGUUAGAGAGCAGGCUGAACAAGCCAGUAAGAAACAUCCCUCCAUGGCUUCUGCAUCAGCUCCUGCUUCCUGACCUGUUUGAGUUCCAGUCCUGACCUCCUUUGGUGAUGAACAGCAAUGUGGAAGUGUAAGCUGAAUAAACCCUUUCCUCCCCAACUUACUUCUUGGUCAUGAUGUUUGUGCAGGAAUAGAAGCCCUGACUAAGGCAAAUUAGUACCAGCGUAGUGGGCUAUUCCUGUGACAACCAAACCAUAUUUUGGGGAGGACUGUGGAAGGACUUUGGAACUUUGGGCUAGACGAUCUAUUCAGUGUUAAGAGCUCUGUGUAGGAGCUUGGAAGAUAAUGUUGAGAACAGCAUAGAAGAUGGAGGCCUGGCUUGUGAAAUUUCAGAGGGAAGAUUAAAGACUCUUAUCAGGACCCUGUUUUGAUUGUGAAGAUUCUGUGGUUUUGGUUAGCUGGGGCUGAAGAAUCAGCUGUGAUUAACAAGAUACCAGAACCACUAAAGCAAACCUUUGUGUUACUGGGACUAUUGAUGCUGGUCAGCUGGAGCUAAGAAAUUAGUGGUGAUUAAGAAGAGACCAGCAUCACUGAGAUGAAAUCUUCUGGGAAGUGUUUUCUGAGAGUACAGAAGCUGUGUGCCAGAGAUAGCCACAGUUGUACUUUGUGCUGUGGCUGGACUUGGUAAUGUGUAAGAGUCACCCGGGUGGUACUGGUUUUGAAGGCAUGAAGGGGUCAUGAAGAGCAGCUGAGGCUUGGCACUGUGAGAGGCCACGGAAGGCCAUUGGUGAAGGUUCUAAGUUGCAAUUGAUGGCCCAGGACUGAAGACGUCAUGCAUAGGAGUUGAGGCUUGGCACCAUGAAGAGAGCCUAUGAGAGGCUAUUGGUGAAGCCUAGUUACAGCGGAAGACAGCAGUGUUCUUGGAGAUGCCAGUGCCAUGAGAUGACCACCAAGAACAGCAGCAGAAGUGGAGUACAGGCAGCUGGAGCCUAGAGGAUAAGCUGUGUACUACAAAGGGCAGAGCUGGAGAAGUGACCCACGCCCUUGGAGGAGCCCAGAAGAUUGUGAGUUGGAUUCCAGACAAUGGACGGUGCCCACCGCACAGGUGAAUGUCCACAGAUGGUAGCCAGACCCUGCCGUCAGGGUAUCUCCGGAAGUGCGAGUCCAAGAAUAGGCAUGAAGAGAGAGAGGAGAGGCUGCCGCCUCGGCUUUGGCUCGCAUGGUAUCUACUAAACAAGCGUCAGAAGAAAACCAACACUUCAUCUUCCUUUCUGUCCGAUCGUGUGGAGACACAGAUGUCACAGGAGAACCCAGGGUUUAGAGGCCCUGCAAUCCCACCCGGUGUCUACAAAGAUUGCAGAAAUGAGAGACACCAUUAGGAGGGGGAAAAACCUGUAUGGUGUGAGAACUUGAGGUUACAACCCAAUACUAGUGGCUAGAUUUGAGGAUUGUAGCUCAUCACAAAAUGCAACAUCGUCACAUUGUCAAGCAGGUGGGACAGACAACACACACGUCUCUAAAUUUAUCCCAGCGAUGCAGAGCCGUGAGCCUUGAGCCCUGGAGGAGACACUGUCCCCCUGCAAGGCCCCACCUUGACAAGGAGAUAGCUGUAUCCUGGAGCCUUUCCUGGCUGCGACGGAGGUGAUCAUAAUAGAGAAUCUGCUUGAUGAACAUCCUGUGAUUUCUUCAUGGAAACACGCGUGCUGUGCCUGGAGAUACGAGGGGCCUUUGCCGGAUGACCGAUGACUUUGACGUGGCACAGGGCAUGCAGCUACAGGAACACGUGUGGCUCUGCCGGGAGGAGAAGUGAGUGAUGACUUCAACGCUGACUCAGCUCAUCCCGUCUUCCGCAUGGUCGGUUCUUCGUGCACCAACUUGGGCAGACUUAGGGGAUGAUACUCAUGAAGCUAUUGAAGACCAGCCAGAGCAACCUCACUCUGACCCUCCCAGUGUGGUAUUUACCCAGCAAUGGGGAUGGGAAGCUUCGCCUUAUUUUCAACCAAAUUAGCUCAUGACACUGAACAUUGGACUAGCAUUUUCUCAUAGAUAUCCUUUCCUGCCCAUUACUGCCAGCUCAUCAUCCAAGACCCAGAGGCAAUAUGCCUUCAGCAGCGAUGGCAUGAGCCCCCAGGCCAAGCGAUGGUUUAGCAUGUAUAAACUCAUGACGUACGUCACAAGCCUGCUCACCGAAGAGACUCUCCUUUGUGAACAGGCUCAGGCAAAGGACUUAGGACCGAGAUCUUAAUCUCAAAAAAGAAGGGAUCCUCAAGGUGGCCAGAAAAGUCCCAGGCCCUUCGUCCCUGUGCUGGUCAAGCUGACACAAGCUAGGGUCAUCUGUUAGAAGGGAACCUCGAUUCAUACCCCCAAGGGCUGGAGAGAUGGCUCAGUGCUUAAGUGCAUUAGAUGCUCCUCCAGAGGUCCUGAGUUCAAAUCUCAGCAAUGACAUGAUGACUCACAACCAUCUGUGAUGGCAUCUUAUGCCCUCUUCUGGUGUGUCUGAAAAUAGCAACAGUGUACUCACAUAUAUAAGAUAAAUAAAUCUUAGAAAGAAAGGAAGGAAGAGAGAGAGAGAGGAGAGAAAGAGAGAGAGAGAGAGAGAGAGAGAGAGAGAGAACACAUAAGAUCAGGCUGUAAAGCAUUUUCUUAAUUAGUGAUGGGGGAGAGCCCAGCCCACUGUGGGUGUGGCCAUCCUGGACUGGUGGUCCUGGGUCCUAUAAGAAAGCAGGCUGAGCAAGCCACGGGGAGCAAGCCUGCAAGCAGCACCCCUCCAUGGCCUCUGCAUCAGUUCCUGCCUCCAGGUUUCCUGUCCUGCUUGAGUUCCUGUCCUGACCUCCUUCAAUGAUGAACAGUGCUGUGGAAGUGUUAGCUUCCCUCCCCAA